AUACGGAGGGUGCGAGCGUUAAUCGGAAUUACUGGGCGUAAAGCGUACGUAGGCGGUUUAUUAAGUCAGAUGUGAAAGCCCCGGGCUUAACCUGGGAACUGCAUUUGAAACUAGUAGACUAGAGUAUGGUAGAGGGGGGUAGAAUUCCUAGUGUAGCGGUGAAAUGCGUAGAUAUUAGGAGGAAUACCAGUGGCGAAGGCGGCCCCCUGGACCAAUACUGACGCUGAGGUACGAAAGCGUGGGGAGCGAACAGGAUUAGAAACCCCGGUAGUCC
Molecule: ribosomal RNA, 274 nt
Filed under: uncultured bacterium
Lineage: Bacteria
Description: partial 16S ribosomal RNA
Rfam family: Bacterial small subunit ribosomal RNA
Source: RNAcentral